AUGAACGCUGGCGGUAUGCUUAACACAUGCAAGUCGAACGGACUCUUCGGAGUUAGUGGCGGACGGGUGAGUAACGCGUGAGAAUCUGGCUUUGGGUUCGGGACAACCACUGGAAACGGUGGCUAAUACCGGGUGUGCCGAGAGGUAAAAGAGAAAUUGCCUGAAGAUGAGCUCGCGUCUGAUUAGCUAGUUGGUGAGGUAAAGGCUCACCAAGGCAGCGAUCAGUAGCUGGUCUGAGAGGAUGACCAGCCACACUGGGACUGAGACACGGCCCAGACUCCUACGGGAGGCAGCAGUGGGGAAUUUUCCGCAAUGGGCGAAAGCCUGACGGAGCAAUACCGCGUGAGGGAAGAAGGCUCUUGGGUUGUAAACCUCUUUUCUUAGGGAAGAACAAAAUGACGGUACCUAAGGAAUCAGCAUCGGCUAACUCCGUG
RNAcentral lists this ribosomal RNA (434 nucleotides) under uncultured bacterium. RNAcentral describes it as "partial 16S ribosomal RNA". It matches the Rfam family "Bacterial small subunit ribosomal RNA", at positions 29 to 507 of the family's 1533-position model. The record is from RNAcentral.